AUUGAACGCUGGCGGCAGGCUUAACACAUGCAAGUCGAGCGCCCCGCAAGGGGAGCGGCAGACGGGUGAGUAACGCGUGGGAAUCUACCUAGCUCUACGGAAUAACUCAGGGAAACUUGUGCUAAUACCGUAUACGCCCUUCGGGGGAAAGAUUUAUCGGAGCUAGAUGAGCCCGCGUUGGAUUAGCUAGUUGGUGGGGUAAUGGCCUACCAAGGCGACGAUCCAUAGCUGGACUGAGAGGAUGAUCAGCCACACUGGGACUGAGACACGGCCCAGACUCCUACGGGAGGCAGCAGUGGGGAAUAUUGGACAAUGGGCGCAAGCCUGAUCCAGCCAUGCCGCGUGAGUGAUGAAGGCCCUAGGGUUGUAAAGCUCUUUCACCGGUGAAGAUAAUGACGGUAACCGGAGAAGAAGCCCCGGCUAACUUCGUGCCAGCCGCCGCCGUAA
This 447-nucleotide ribosomal RNA is filed under the name uncultured bacterium. Its description in RNAcentral is "partial 16S ribosomal RNA". It matches the Rfam family "Bacterial small subunit ribosomal RNA", at positions 30 to 523 of the family's 1533-position model. The record is from RNAcentral.